UACGGAGGGGGCUAGCGUUGUUCGGAAUUACUGGGCGUAAAGCGCACGUAGGCGGCUUUGUAAGUUAGAGGUGAAAGCCCAGGGCUUAACCCUGGAAUUGCCUUUAAGACUGCAUCGCUAGAAUCGUGGAGAGGUGAGUGGAAUUCCGAGUGUAGAGGUGAAAUUCGUAGAUAUUCGCAAGAACACCAGUGGCGAAGGCGGCUCACUGGCCCAUAACUGACGCUGAGGCGCGAAAGCUAGGGGAGCAAACAGG
This 253-nucleotide ribosomal RNA is filed under the name uncultured bacterium. Its description in RNAcentral is "partial 16S ribosomal RNA". It matches the Rfam family "Bacterial small subunit ribosomal RNA", at positions 524 to 776 of the family's 1533-position model. The record is from RNAcentral.